This 68-nucleotide transfer RNA is filed under the name Marmota marmota marmota (Alpine marmot). It matches the Rfam family "tRNA". Rfam says of the family: Transfer RNA (tRNA) molecules are approximately 80 nucleotides in length. Their secondary structure includes four short double-helical elements and three loops (D, anti-codon, and T loops). The record is from Rfam by way of RNAcentral. Lineage: Eukaryota; Metazoa; Chordata; Mammalia; Rodentia; Sciuridae. RNAcentral also lists the same sequence under 1 other name.
GUUGUGGCUCAGUGGUAGAGCACUUGCCUAGCACAUGUGAGGCACUGGGUUCAAUCCCCAGUACAACG